CGUGGAUAACCUGCCGUGCACAGGGGGAUAACACUUAGAAAUAGGUGCUAAUACCGCAUAAGCGCACAGUUUCGCAUGAGACAGUGUGAAAAGCCUGGAAGCGAUUCCGGGCGGUGCAUGAUGGAUCCGCGUCCGAUUAGCUAGUUGGCGGGGUAAAGGCCCACCAAGGCAGCGAUCGGUAGCCGGCCUGAGAGGGUGGACGGCCACAUUGGGACUGAGACACGGCCCAAACUCCUACGGAAGGCAGCAG
This 250-nucleotide ribosomal RNA is filed under the name uncultured bacterium. RNAcentral's name for it is "partial 16S ribosomal RNA". It matches the Rfam family "Bacterial small subunit ribosomal RNA", at positions 116 to 354 of the family's 1533-position model. The record is from RNAcentral.